GGGGAGCGCUCCACCGCCCUCGAGGAAGCGUGUGCGCACGCGCUCCCAGCUGGUUCGCUCCUGGCGCUCCGAGGGCAGGAAAAUCGAAGACCCAAACUGGCGCCUGCGCACUAGGUCUCCGCCGCUGCUGUGGUCUCGCGCCCCGCCCCCCGUCCCCCCACCUCUCCCCAGGCUCGCGCUCAGCCACGGCUGUGUCGGUGCAGCUGGGAGCAGACGCACCCGAGGUGAGGGUGGGGGGGGUCCGGGGUCCACCGACCGCGGCCGAGCCGGCGCGCCUCUCCCACCCUCCCCGCACCUCCAGUCUGGCCCCCACGGCUGACAUUUGCGCGGCCAAAAGCGGCCCACGGGCAGGGCGCGGAAAGGGAGUAGGCGCGAGGCCGGGGACGAGCGGGCGGCGGCGAGGGAGGGGCGCAACCCAGCCCCCUUCCUGGCCCACAGCGACCCCGCCUACGUCGCGGGACGAGGACCCUCGGAGGAGCCUCUGUCUGCCUCCAAGCCAGGACCCGGCCCCCCUAAGUUCUGAGUCCACCUGCUCUUAUGCCUCUGUGAUCAGAACCAUGCCUCUUCACCUCUCCAGGCCCUAGCUUCCACAUCUGCAAGCUGGCUAUGAAGAGCUGGGUCUGCAUCAUCCUCCCAGGUUUGUAGGGACCAGGAGGGAUGCACACAUGCACGCUUUGUCAGUUUGCUGGGAUGAUUUCUUCUGGAGGCAUGGAAGGUGGUCGGGUCUCAAAGCCCCAGUCUUUCCUUGGAAAAGCUGACCUCCCUGUCCCCAGCUUGGGAAACUGUUACCCCAGUGAGGAUGGCAGUUGCACCAAACCUUCUCUCACCCAUGCCUUGCCCUGGGAGGGAAGGGUAGGGACCCCAGGUAUGUGAUGCCUGCUGCCAAGAGACACACAUCCGAUUUAUACCCAAGGCCUCCUAUGUGCUCAACAAGUCCCAGGAAUCCCAUCCCCAGCUCCCAAGUGCUACUCUGGGGUAGGCAGGGUCUGAUGUGGGCACCCGGUAGGACCAGAGGCAGCCCCACACACCCACGACCCUUUGCCCUUCUUCCUCAGUUCUCUACCAGGUUACUGGGGUAAGUGGGGAUGUCUGGGCUAUUUUCUUGGCCAUGCUGGACACCCCAGAGGGACCGGGCCAUGAGACUUGCCCCUAAGGGUGUCCUGAGCCCUGGUGACAGGCAAGCAAGGGUUAAGACAUAUGGGCUGGCCCAGUCCCUGGCCAGGUAGGCUGGGCUGUUGCCUAGUGGGAGGUGGCCUAGGCAUCCGCCACUAAGCUCACUGCUCACCCACUCCUCACCCGCUCUGCUCACUGCCACUACCAGCUGGAACAGGGCCUGCUUGAGACAACUAUUUUUUGAGGUACCUGAGGCUACCUCACAGCACCUGUCUGGCAUUGGUGAGCACCUGGAAACAGGGGGCCCAGGGGCAGGGUCGGGGGAGAAGGGUAUAGGGUAUACAGAGGCUUCCUGUGGGAGAAAGCCAGGUCUGUGUGAGGGGUGCAGUGAAGAAGGAGGGCCUGAGUAGAGGAGCGAAGCCCAAAACAUCCAAUUUCCUCUCCUGGCGUGAAGCCGAUUCCUUGCCGGAAAUGAACGAGGGGAAGGAAUGGGGGAGAAGAGAAGCCAGAUUCCCCCCUUCUCCACUGUCCCCCCUACUUCCUCUCCCCCUUCCUCCCUUAGGGAGUAGCCUCUGCCUUCCUGCAACCUGGGACCUAGCCCCUCGGGAAAGCCCAGACUGGGCUAUUGAGAAACUACUUCCCGACACCUGCCUGCCCCCCAUCUGUUCACCCAGAGUUUUGGGAGGAGGGCUCUAGGUCAGUGAAGGGAGCAGUCCCAGACAUUGGGAGUUUGUACUUGGCUUGAUAGUGGCAAGAUAUGGAAAUGGGGGGGGGGGUCCCACUGAGGGUGCUAGGGUGCCACCCAGGUGAGGUGUCUUGGUUGUAAACAGUCAUUACAGCCAGGAAUUUCUUUCUCGGCUGUGGUGUCAGAAGGACAGACCUGAAAAACCUGCUGGGCCCGCCUCUGGGUGUGUGUGUGGGGUACCCUCUGCAGCUCUCCUGCUGCAGCCUAUCCUAAGACAGGACUUGGGGGCUGGGGUGGGGGAGUGUUAUGGCAGGGGACCGCUGGGAUCCCCCUUCUCACAGUCUCCAGGUGGGGAUGAGGCAGUUCUCAACCCUGGGGCAAAUAUGCAGAGAGGGCAGGAGAGUCAAAGGCAGAGGUUUGGGAGCUGGGUGUGGGGGUGUGGGGUGUUGACCCUGUGUCUAGCCUACCCAGUGACCCCAUGACUCAGGCCUAAGCUAUGUCCCCGAGGUCAGGCUGACAGGGUGGAGUAGGGGUUCCUGUCUAGACCCCGUGUUGACUUCAGGGCCAUGAGCUCUCAGGGAAGGAAGGCUCAAGGCAGUCCAGCGUCGGAUGUGGGAGCAAUCCUAAUGAAUGGGCCCACUGGGGAGGAGUUGAAGUUCCUGUCAGGGUGGAGGAAGGUUUAGGGGAACCCUGGGAGAGUUCCUCAGACUCAAAGGGGCUGGGGAAGAAGGAACUCCAGGAGCUUAGGGGCUGAAGAGGCUGAGCUGGGACCUCGAGGAAACCCUGCCACGCUGGGCAGUAUCAGACCUUGGAGUGUGGGCAUCUGCAAAGCGCACAUUGCUGCCGGGAAGUGCAGGGAUGUGCAGAAAGGCUCUAGGGACUGACCCCUGACCCUGAGGUUGAGUACAGGGAGCCACUGUUUUUUGGGAGGCAUACAGACUCUGUGGAGUCAGUAGCAGGACUGGUGGCAGCAUAUUAGCAGCUUGGCCCCAUCACCUGGUAGAUAGAUGGGGAAGGGGCUUGAACUUACACUUCUUUAGCUGCCUGGGUCUUCUCCACACCUGGUCCCCAUGGCAUGAC
Molecule: long non-coding RNA, 2878 nt
Filed under: Canis lupus familiaris (dog)
Lineage: Eukaryota; Metazoa; Chordata; Mammalia; Carnivora; Canidae
Description: lncRNA (ENSCAFG00040010848.1)
Source: RNAcentral